UACGGAGGGUGCGAGCGUUGUUCGGAAUCACGUGGCGUAAAGCGCGUGUAGGCGGCCCAUUAAGUCUGAUGUGAAAGCCCUGGGCUCAACCUAGGAAGUGCACUCGAAACUGCCUCGCUGGAGUGCCGGAGAGGAAAGCGGAAUUCUCGGUGUAGAGGUGAAAUUCGUAGAUAUCGAGAGGAACACCGGUGGCGAAGGCGGCUUUCUGGACGGUUACUGACGCUGAGACGCGAAAGCGUGGGGAGCAAACAGG
Molecule: ribosomal RNA, 253 nt
Filed under: uncultured bacterium
Lineage: Bacteria
Description: partial 16S ribosomal RNA
Rfam family: Bacterial small subunit ribosomal RNA
Source: RNAcentral